GGAGCUUGCUCCUCUGACGUUAGCGGCGGACGGGUGAGUAACACGUGGGUAACCUACCUAUAAGACUGGGAUAACUUCGGGAAACCGGAGCUAAUACCGGAUAAUAUUUCGAACCGCAUGGUUCGAUAGUGAAAGAUGGCUUUGCUACCACUUAUAGAUGGACCUGCGCCGUAUUAGCUAGUUGGUAAGGUAACGGCUUACCAAGGCAACGAUACGUAGCCGACCUGAGAGGGUGAUCGGCCACACUGGAACUGAGACACGGUCCAGACUCCUACGGGAGGCAGCAGUAGGGAAUCUUCCGCAAUGGGCGAAAGCCUGACGGAGCAACGCCGCGUGAGUGAUGAAGGUCUUCGGAUCGUAAAACUCUGUUAUAGGGAAGAACAUACGUGUAAGUAACUGUGCACGUCUUGACGGUACCUAAUCAGAAAGCCACGGCUAACUACGUGCCAGCAGCCGCGGUAAUACGUAGGU
This 471-nucleotide ribosomal RNA is filed under the name uncultured bacterium. RNAcentral describes it as "bacterial SSU rRNA". It matches the Rfam family "Bacterial small subunit ribosomal RNA", at positions 75 to 532 of the family's 1533-position model. The record is from RNAcentral.